This is a long non-coding RNA of Cygnus olor (mute swan), 1212 nucleotides long. RefSeq lists it as uncharacterized. NCBI's taxonomy places the organism in Eukaryota, Metazoa, Chordata, Aves, Anseriformes, Anatidae. The record is from RefSeq and is a predicted model, not a curated record. The transcript is spliced from 3 exons.
GUGAAGUCAGUCUUACACUGAGCACACAUGUAGGGCUCGCGAGAUGAUACAGGAACUGAAACUUUACCUGCAGAAACACAACCAGGUGAUAAAGACCCUGCAAAGCGGCACUUUCAGAUUUCCAGUUGACUAUCUCAUUUCAGCAGCUCUUAUUCAAUCUGAAGACAGACACAAUGAGGGAAAAAAAGUCAAACAUCCAGAGUUCAUCGCUCAGCAGUGAAUUGCGCGAUGUGGGUACUUGUUGCAUUGGUUUUAAUUCCAUCUACUGAGGCACUCAGACGUCCAGGAGACGGACACCAAUAAAACAACCCAAACCAGCCAACAGAGAGGUGUUAAUAUCCAUCUGCAGCAUGAAGCACACUUAAACCUACACAGUGCCCUCCCAACACAAAACCCACCAAGUCAGCAUCACACAGGCUGUAAAAUAAAAUAGUUCAGUUGCCAUUGUUACAGGUGCUCAAUUCACUCAGCGCCUCGCGUGGGGUGUUUGCACGCCCCCUCUGCUCCUCUCCUGCCUGCCUCCACCUCUACCCUUCGGUGGCAGCGUGAACAGCACAUGCAGAAGGCAGCUCCUCUGACAAAAAAAAUAGAUUUUUUUGCUGGGUUUGUUUCCAACGAAAACAGUCCUCCCAGCACUUUGGAAAGCAAAUGUGUGAUACGAGGGGUGGGGAGGAAGGGAAGGGGGCCAGGGUGGGAGGGCUGAGCCUCUCCUUUUAGGCUGCCUGGGUUUCUUGACAUAACUACAGGCUGGCUGCACCCAGUAGGAGCUGGAAUCCAGAUCUGUGCCACACAGCAGAGCUCGGCCUUCGGUCACAGCUCCCAGCGGUGGAGAUGGAAAUGCUUCAACAGACGUGCUGACAGGUGAAGUUAUGUAUGAGAAUCUCCUCCAAAUGCACGCUCGUGCCAGCUAUCUCUACGCCGGACAGUGCUUAGUAAUUUGGAGUGCAUUCCGCUCAAAAAUGUCCGAGUUUACUAAAAAGAUGUUCAGCUUUUGCAUAUGGUUGAUAGGAAAACUGUCUAGUCUUUUGGUCUUGGCAACACCAAAAAAAGAAGGAAUGGUUAAUGGGAUACACUGCUACAAACUUCAGGAAGGUUUUAUGAGAAGUGAGACAUGCUUUAUUUGAGAACUCUCAUGUUCUACAGGUUAUGGCAGCUGCCACAGUUACUUAAUUUUUUCCUCCACUCUAGAAGACAAGACACGUAUCUGUAGGA